This 104-nucleotide ribosomal RNA is filed under the name Tursiops truncatus (common bottlenose dolphin). Lineage: Eukaryota; Metazoa; Chordata; Mammalia; Artiodactyla; Delphinidae. The record is from RNAcentral.
GGGCCACACCACCGUGAACGUACCCGAUCUCUUCUGAUCUUGGAAGCUAAGCACGGUCGGGCCUGGUUAGUACUUGGAUGGGAGAAAGUGGGUUAGAUUGCUCU